Molecule: ribosomal RNA, 216 nt
Filed under: Glomeromycotina sp.
Lineage: Eukaryota; Fungi; Glomeromycota
Description: partial small subunit ribosomal RNA
Rfam family: Eukaryotic small subunit ribosomal RNA (bases 44-216)
Source: RNAcentral
GGGUCAGUAGGUUGGUCGUGCCACCGGUACGUACUGGUCUCACUGAUUCCUCCUUCCUGAAGAACCGUAAUGCCAUUAAUUUGGUGGUGCGGGGAAACAGGACUGUUACUUUGACAAAAUUAGAGUGUUUAACGCAAGCUAACGCUUGAAUACAUUAGCAUGGAAUAAUGAAAUAGGACGAUCGAUCCUAUUUUGUUGGUUUCUAGGAUUGACGUA